CGAAAGCGAGCAAAGAAGGCCAAGCAGGCAUUCGAACAGAUCAAGAAGGAGCGCUUUGACCGCUUCAAUGCUUGUUUUGAAUCUGUGGCUACCAACAUUGAUGAGAUCUAUAAGGCCCUGUCCCGCAAUAGCAGUGCCCAGGCAUUCCUGGGCCCUGAGAACCCUGAAGAGCCCUACUUGGAUGGCAUCAACUACAACUGUGUGGCUCCUGGGAAACGCUUCCGGCCUAUGGACAACUUGUCAGGCGGGGAGAAGACAGUGGCAGCUCUGGCCCUGCUCUUUGCCAUCCACAGGUAAGGCUGAUCCCCUAGGGCAGUUGACGAAGAGACUGAACUGAGGCCACCAGAGGCUCUGGGGCCCAAGGAUACACAGAGAUCUGCGAAGGUGAUGGUUUGGUGGAAUCUGGAUUGCAUCCCUGUUUCACUAUCUACUGCAGCAUAUCUGGCUUUGGUUUUUCUGGACCUGUCUUCCCCAUCCACCCUCAUCUGCUCAGCAUGUCCUCACCGGCCUCUGCAUGUAUUUAGUUCCGCCUCCAGGCUUUUGCUCACGAGGUUGCUGGCUAAUAAUCCCUUUCCAUGUAAAUCUAGCUUGAUCAUCACCUUUCACCCCUUCACCCUUCCUCAUUCUCCUCCCCUUUAGGAAGCCCUCCUUGAUCACUGUGGCAUACCCUGACCUUCCCCUCCUGAAUGCCAGUAGUACUUGAGUCUGACUCCCGCAGCUUAUAUUGCUUGAUUGUACAGCAUCAAUUUCUUGAGUGCUGCUCUGUACCAGACCCUGCGGAGGGAUUAGGGACACAGAUGUAUCAGACAGGGUCUCUGGCCUCGAGGAGCUCACAGUCUAGUAGAAG
Molecule: long non-coding RNA, 847 nt
Filed under: Homo sapiens (human)
Lineage: Eukaryota; Metazoa; Chordata; Mammalia; Primates; Hominidae
Description: non-protein coding lnc-HSD17B10-3:1
Source: RNAcentral